CAUAAUAUUCACAAUAAGCCUAGAACCUUCUCUUUUGACCGUUGGAGAUUGUCGCAAAUGAGGAAGCUACAAACAAGAAGAAGUCACAUGUUCACUUAAGGAAGGAGCAUCCUUUGCUCACGUCGCUUUCACUCAGCUCCUUGUGCAUAAAAUAUCUUGUAUAUCUUGUAAUUGUUUAUUCUCUUUGUUUCCCUUUAAGUAGUUUGUAACUAGGUUAUUUCUAAUGUAUGAAAAGAGAAGUUCUCUCUUUCUUCACACAAAAACUCGCAAACUCUCUCAAUCUCUUUCAUUCAAACUCAUUAGAUCUUCUUUACACAAAUCUCUUUGAAAUCUUACAUGGUAUCAGAGCCAGGUUCCUAAGAUCCUAGCUAUUUUCUUUCUCUAAGUAUAAUUUCUUCUUUUCGGUUCUCUAAAUCCUUGAAAGCUUGAAGCUUGUUCUUGAGAUUUUUGGUCAUGGAUGUCAUGAAGAAUUUGGUUGUUCCGGUUACGCUCAAGGGAGGUAACUACUUGUUGUGGGCAAGAACCACAAAGACGGCUUUGUGUGGUCGUGGACUUUGGAGUCACAUCGAGAACGGUGAAGCUCCAAAGGAAAGCAAAGAUGGCAAGGAGAUUGUUUCUUGCGACGAAGUGAAGUGGUUUCAAGAAGACCAACCCGUUUUGGGGCUUAUCCAAAACUCUCUAGAGGCGCCUAUUCUUGAAGCAUACUCCUAUUGUGAGACAGCCAAGGAGUUGUGGGAUACACUCAAGAAUGUUUUUGGAAAUGUUACUAACUUGAAUCGGGUCUUUGAAGUCAAACGUGCUAUCAACAACCUCAGUCAAGAAGACAUGGAGUUUACCAAGCAUUUUGGGAAGUUUAGAUCUCUUUGGGCCGAGCUUGAAAUGUUGAGACCAAGCUCGGUGGAUCCGGUGGUUAUCAACGAACGCCGUGAGCAAGAUAAGGUGUUCGGUCUUCUCUUGACCUUAAACCCCUCUUACAACGACCUCAUCAAGCAUAUCCUUCGGUCCGACAAGCUACCAAGCCUUGAUGAUGUAUGUUCUCAAAUUCAACGAGAACACGGUUCCAUGGGGUUAUUUGGUGGUAAGGGGGAGCUUGUUUUGGCUAACAAUGUGGAGCUCGCCGCAGCUAACAAAAGCUACUAUCGAGGUCACAACAACAACAACAACAAGAGGAACAUUCCUACUUGUCACCAUUGUAAGAAACCGGGUCAUAUCAAGGACAAGUGUUGGGUACUUUACCCUCACCUUCGCCCAAGAGAAGACAACCGUGAGCCGAGGGCAAACCAAGCAAGUGCUUCCGGUGAGAUUCAAGCUCCGGAGACAAACGUGCAAAUUCUUGAGGAAAGUGGAGCAGCCAUGGCCGCUUCUUCUGACUUGGUGAGGAGGUCUGACCUUGAUGCUCUCAUCAAAGCUCUCAAGGAGUCGUCCGGUAAGGCUACUCUUGCUCUCAAUGUUUUAAAACCGCUUAUUGUUGAUUCCGGAGCAUCUCACCACAUGAUUAGUGACUCUAAGUUAAUUAGUGACAUUAAGCCGGCUAUUGGAAAUGUUAUUAUUGCAAAUGGAACUAGAAUACCGGUUAAAGGGGUAGGAGACUUACAAUUGUUCAAUAAGAAGUCCAAAGCGUUUUACAUGCCUAGCUUUACUUCAAAUUUGCUAUCCGUUAAGAAGGCUACUACCGAUUUAAAUUGUUAUGCAAUAUUUGGUCCUAACAAUAUUCAUUUUCAGGAUAUUGAGACAAGUAAGGUGCUUGGCCAUGGAGUCACUAAAGAUGACUUAUAUGUGCUUGAGGACUUGAACCUAUCCCCUACUCUAUCUUCUUGUUUUAGUUCUAUUCAUGUUAGUGCUAAUAGUACAAUUUGGCAUGCUAGACUUGGUCACCCUCAUUCUAGAGCCUUAAAUCUCUUAUUGCCUAAUAUGUCUUUUAAAAAUGAUGAUUGUGAGGCUUGUAUUCUUGGCAAACAUUGCAAAUCUGUNNNNNNNNNNNNNNNNNNNNNNNNNNNNNNNNNNNNNNNNNNNNNNNNNNNNNNNNNNNNNNNNNNNNNNNNNNNNNNNNNNNNNNNNNNNNNNNNNNNNAAGUCAAAAACUAUUUAUGAGAAUUGUUUUGAUCUUAUUCAUUCAGAUGUGUGGACAUCACCUUGCUUAUCUAGAGAAAAUCAAAAGUAUUAUGUUACUUUUAUUGAUGAGAAAUCAAAGUACACUUGGCUAACCUUGCUCCCUUCAAAAGAUAGAGUUCUUGAGGCUUUCAUGAAUUUUCAAAAUUAUGUGACUAACCAUUAUAAUGCUAAGAUUAAAAUCUUGAGAUCAGAUAAUGGUGGGGAGUACACUAGUCAUGCCUUCAAACAACAUUUGAUCAAGUAUGGGAUCAUACAACAAACAAGCUGCCCGUACACACCACAACAAAAUGGUGUUGCCGAACGGAAGAAUCGACAUCUCAUGGAAGUGGCGCGUUCAAUGAUGUUUCACACCAAUGUUCCUAAAACAUUUUGGGGGGAUGCGGUUGUAGCAGCUUGUUACUUGAUCAAUAGAACCCCAACGAAAAUCCUAAGCGAUCUCUCAACUUAUGAAAUUCUUAAUAAAAAUAAACCGUCUAUCAAUCACUUACGUGUGUUUGGAUGUGUGUGUUAUGUGUUAAGACCAGGAGAACGAAGGAACAAGUUGGAAGCACAGAGUACAAAGUGUAUGCUUAUCGGGUAUUCAUCAACACAAAAAGGGUACAAGUGUUACAAUCCGGAGACAAGGAGAGUUCAUGUUUCAAGAGAUGUGAAAUUCAUUGAGUCACACGGGUAUUAUGAUAAGAAGAAUUGGGAGGAACUCAAGAAUCUUUCCAACUCUCCAUCCGAUCGUGCAAACAACCUCCGGAUCAUCUUGGAAAAACUUGGUAUUGAUCUCUCUCGAGACAAAGAAGAAACCCCCGAGUCAAAAUCUCCGGAACAAACUUAUCAAGACCGAGAAGAAGGAGAGACAAGUAAUUCUCAACAUGAAGAAGAGGUGUUCGAAAAUGACAAUGUGGACCUUGAUCAUGAGAAUGGUGAAGGAGAAGAACGAUUAAACUCACUUAAUGAGGAAGUAAAUGAAGCGCAAGAAGAGUACAAUGACCCAAAUCAAGAAGAGCAACCUCAAGAAGAAAUUAUUGAGUUAAGAAGGAGUGAAAGAAUCAAGAAUCACCCAUCAAAUUGGAAGAAUACUCGUGUGUACUACAACAACAUGGCUGUGGCUCACCCAAUACAAGCCGUAUGCACUCUUGCACAUCUACCGAUGGAUCAUCAAGCGUAUCUCAUCAAAGUGGAUUCUCAUUGGAUUCCACAAAGUUACGAAGAAGCUAGAGAUCACAAGGAAUGGAGAGAUGCGGUUGUAGAAGAGACUAAAGCCAUGGAAUCAAAUCAUACAUGGGAUGAAGCGGAUCUUCCUAAAGGGAAGAAGGCGGUUACAUCACGUUGGAUUUUUACUAUCAAGUACAAGAGUGAUGGGGAGAUUGAACACUAUAAAGCUCGGCUUGUAGCUAGAGGUUUUACACAAACCUAUGGUGAAGAUUACCUCGAUACCUUUGCUCGGGUUGCAAAGCUCCACACGGUCCGAGUUGUCUUGUCUCUAGCCGUGAACUUAGAAUGGGAAUUAUGGCAAAUGGACGUUAAGAAUGCUUUCCUUCAAGGUGAACUAGAAGAUGAAGUUUACAUGAGACCUCCACCGGGUUUGGAAGACAUCAUAGGACCGGGAAAAGUGUUGAAGCUCAAUAAAGCUAUCUAUGGCUUGAAACAAUCUCCGAGAGCGUGGUAUCACAAGUUGAGCACUACCUUAAUGGAAAAGGGAUUCAAACGGUCCGAAGCGGAUCACACACUCUUCACAUUGACCAGCCAAGAAGGUAUAGUGGUCAUUCUUGUUUAUGUUGAUGAUAUCAUCAUAUCCGGGAAUGACAAGGUAGGAAUUCAAAACACUAAGUCUUUUCUAAAAUCUGUAUUUGAUAUUAAAGACCUUGGUGAACUUAAAUAUUUCCUUGGUAUUGAAGUGUGUAGAUCUAAAGAAGGUCUCUUCUUAUCUCAAAGAAAAUAUACUCUUGACCUUUUGAAUGAAGUUGGUAAACUAGGUUCAAGACCGGUGGCAUCACCACUAGAAGUGGAUUUCCAAAUCAACCGAGAGGGGGAGAAAGGAGAUCAACCAUAUGAAGAUGCAUCUCAAUAUCGACGUCUAGUAGGUAAGCUUAUCUAUUUAACUAUAACAAGGCCUGAUAUUUGCUAUUCCGUGAACCAGGUGAGUCAACAUAUGCAAGCUCCAAAGAUGCAUCAUUGGAGCAUGGUGAACCGGAUACUCAAAUAUCUCAAAGGAACACCGGGGCAAGGCAUAUGGAUGGGUUGCAACAAGAGUACGGAGUUGAUUGGUUAUUGUGAUGCGGAUUAUGCCGGGGACCAUGGAGAUAGACGCUCAACAUCCGGCUAUUGCACCUUCGUUGGGGGAAACUUGGUGACUUGGAAGAGUAAGAAGCAAAAGGUGGUUUCACUAUCUAGUGCCGAAUCGGAGUAUCGGGCAAUGAGGAAGCUUACAACCGAAUUGAUGUGGCUUAAGGCACUUCUUAAAGAUCUUGGAGUAGAGUCAACCAAACCAAUCACCAUGCAUUGUGACAAUGAGGCAGCCAUUCACAUAGCAUCUAACUCGGUGUUUCAUGAACGAACAAAACACAUCGAAGUUGAUUGCCACAAGGUGCGAGAACAAGUUGGUCUUGGGGUAAUUCUGCCGUGUUACACCGAAAGCUCUGAGCAAUUGGCCGAUAUCUUCACUAAAGCAGCCAGCCCUCAAGUGUGUGAGUAUAUCCACUCCAAACUUGGCCUCAUGGACCUAACUAAGCCGUGAUACCCACACUCUUUUUCCCUUAGUAAAGUUUUUCCCAAGUGGUUUUCUUUGCUAAGGUUUUUUUUAAUGAGGUGGGUGUUCUUAGUGUCAAGCUCAACCAUCAAAGUCUUGAUGUUUAACCUUGAGGGGGAGUGAAAAACGGAACACCAUUUCCACCACGAGACCGAUCGAUCACCUUCGAUCCGGAUCGAGUGAUGCUUCUCGAUCGACCGUACAACCCGACUGUCCGUACAACCAAUACGUCCGUACAACCUCGACUUGGCCCAUUUUCUCAUAUGUGUUAGGGCCUCUUUGGGACUUACUUGGUGGCCUCAUAAUAUUCACAAUAAGCCUAGAACCUUCUCUUUUGACCGUUGGAGAUUAUCGCAAAUGAGGAAGCUACAAACAAGAAGAAGUCACAUGUUCACUUAAGGAAGGAGCAUCCUUUGCUCACGUCGCUUUCACUCAGCUCCUUGUGCAUAAAAUAUCUUGUAUAUCUUGUAAUUGUUUAUUCUCUUUGUUUCCCUUUAAGUAGUUUGUAACUAGGUUAUUUCUAAUGUAUGAAAAGAGAAGUUC
Molecule: long non-coding RNA, 5394 nt
Filed under: Capsella rubella
Lineage: Eukaryota; Viridiplantae; Streptophyta; Magnoliopsida; Brassicales; Brassicaceae
Description: long non-coding RNA (CRUB_LNC000251)
Source: RNAcentral